RNAcentral lists this small nuclear RNA (301 nucleotides) under Monodelphis domestica (gray short-tailed opossum). RNAcentral's name for it is "7SK RNA". It matches the Rfam family "7SK RNA". From Rfam's summary of the family: 7SK was discovered as an abundant small nuclear RNA in the mid-70s but a possible function has only recently been suggested. Two independent studies have found that 7SK RNA binds the CDK9/cyclin T complex (known as elongation factor P-TEFb). Lineage: Eukaryota; Metazoa; Chordata; Mammalia; Didelphimorphia; Didelphidae. The record is from Rfam by way of RNAcentral.
GGAUGUGAGGGUGAUCUGGAUGCAACAUCCAGCACCCCCAUUGAUUGCCAGGAUUGAUUGGAGUAAUCUAGAUUGCUAGGCCUUCCUCCCUCACUUCUCCAUGUGCAUCUCUCCAGAAGCUGCCUACUGGGUCAAAGAGGAUGACCUUCCCUGACAAAGGCAUACUGUUCUUCUGCCAAGGGUUUACAAGUAGAUUUGCUCCACUGCCAUAACAAGCUCCCAAGUUCCAUAAAGCUCUGUCUCUGUAAAAUAGAUAAAGUCAUACAUAUAUUACACACAAGCUAUAGUCCAGUGAUUUCAU